GAAGCUGAUGCUGAAGACCAAUCUCAACUCAAAACCUCAAACCAAUCCCCAAUCAAGUCUAAACCCAAGACCUACCCAUGUUCAAGGAAGCUUGGCUUGUAUAAAGCCAAUGGGAAUCAGGAUGUUUAGACUCAAAGGUUAACCGAAGGAAAAGAUCUGGGACAUAGAAAGAGGUGGGCACACUUGACUGCAAAAGGCAAAAAAGCGAGGAGAAGAGAAGUUAUACAACUGCAGCUAAGAAGACGGAAGGAGUGAUUUUCCACAUCUCUCCAUCCAAAGACACAUCGGCAAGACGACCCUUGCAUCAGUGAGAUCCCAGGGGGCGGGAGAGUUCUGCAGAAGAAAAGGAGAAAAAUAAACCCUCAGACUUUUUCAGCAAAUGGACAGCAUUCAAGGAAGGAAGGAAGGAAGAACUUUACAGAGGUGGCUAUGCAAGAACGGAGAGGACACAGGACUGCAAAGCGGGGUGUUAUGUUCGCUGUUAUCCUAUACAUUCAGGCCAUGAAAUGAUAAGAUGCCAACUCUCUAAAUCCGUAAAGUUCUACUUUUCUAAAGAUCUGAGGAAUUUCUCUCCUAAUCAGCAACAAAUCAGGUCAUGAUGUUCAGAGCCAAAGCACUUAACCAGCAGGCGUCCUUGUUUUUUGGUCAAGAUUGAAGGUUUAGUACUUCUAAAGCCCAUAUGUAGGUUAGCUGUUGUUUUAUCUUAGAGUAUAAUCUUAGAACUGCAGUAGCUGGAAGGGACCCUACGGAUC
Non-coding RNA from Pogona vitticeps (central bearded dragon), 752 nucleotides. Lineage: Eukaryota; Metazoa; Chordata; Lepidosauria; Squamata; Agamidae. The record is from RefSeq and is a predicted model, not a curated record.